GGCCCAGAUCGUUUACCGUGAAAAAAUUAGAGUGUUCAAAGCAGGCAGAUCCAAUUUUCUGCCACCGAAUACAUUAGCAUGGGAUAAUGGAAUAGGACCCUGUCCUCCUAUUUUCAGUUGGUUUUGGCAGCGCGAGGACUAGGGUAAUGAUUAAUAGGGAUAGUUGGGGGCAUUAAUAUUUAAUUGUCAGAGGUGAAAUUCUUGGAUUUAUGAAAGAUUAACUUCUGCGAAAGCAUCUGCCAAGGAUGUUUUCAUUAAUCAAGAACGAAAGUUAGGGGAUCGAAGACGAUCAGAUACCGUCGUAGUCUUAACCAUAAACGAUGCCGACCAGCGAUUAGGAGACGUUGAAUACAAAACACCACCAUCGGCGCGGUCGUCCUUGGCGUGUCUCGGCUUCACGGCUGGGGCGCGCGAGGGCGGUUUAGCCCGGUGGCACCGGUGAAUGACUCCCCUAGCAGCUUGUGAGA
Molecule: ribosomal RNA, 467 nt
Filed under: Acanthamoeba sp.
Lineage: Eukaryota; Discosea; Longamoebia; Acanthamoebidae
Description: SSU rRNA
Rfam family: Eukaryotic small subunit ribosomal RNA
Source: RNAcentral